AGUGAACGCUGGCGGUAGGCCUAACACAUGCAAGUCGAACGGCAGCACAGAGGAGCUUGCUCCUUGGGUGGCGAGUGGCGGACGGGUGAGGAAUACAUCGGAAUCUACUCUGUCGUGGGGGAUAACGUAGGGAAACUUACGCUAAUACCGCAUACGACCUACGGGUGAAAGCAGGGGAUCUUCGGACCUUGCGCGAUUGAAUGAGCCGAUGUCGGAUUAGCUAGUUGGCGGGGUAAAGGCCCACCAAGGCGACGAUCCGUAGCUGGUCUGAGAGGAUGAUCAGCCACACUGGAACUGAGACACGGUCCAGACUCCUACGGGAGGCAGCAGUGGGGAAUAUUGGACAAUGGGCGCAAGCCUGAUCCAGCCAUACCGCGUGGGUGAAGAAGGCCUUCGGGUUGUAAAGCCCUUUUGUUGGGAAAGAAAUCCAUCUGGUUAAUACCCGGGUGGGAUGACGGUACCCAAAGAAUAAGCACCGGCUAACUUCGUGCCAGCCGCCGCCGUAA
Molecule: ribosomal RNA, 506 nt
Filed under: uncultured bacterium
Lineage: Bacteria
Description: partial 16S ribosomal RNA
Rfam family: Bacterial small subunit ribosomal RNA
Source: RNAcentral